RNAcentral lists this long non-coding RNA (3901 nucleotides) under Lotus japonicus. Its description in RNAcentral is "long non-coding RNA (LJAP_LNC001476)". Lineage: Eukaryota; Viridiplantae; Streptophyta; Magnoliopsida; Fabales; Fabaceae. The record is from RNAcentral.
UUUUUUUUUUAAUGUAUAACAAAAACAUCUAGACCAUACUUAAUAAUAAAUUCUAAUGUUGUUGACAUGAACUAGAAUCUCUCCUUUAAAAAAAUACAAAAUACAAUCUAAUAUUUAAGAUUGUAUAUAUGAUCAUUCAAAGCAUUUAUUGGUUAUUUAUAGUCAAGGAAGAACAUUAUUACUCGCAAACACAUAUGUGGUUCACGCACAUGGGUGUUCCUACGCAUGGCAUGUUUAAGCAAUCUUUGUUUGUACGACAACGAAUAAGGACGCCAUCAGAGCAGCCAGAGCAUUUAGGGUCAUAGUUCACUUUAACUUCAUUCACCACACCAGCCUCUUCUAUGGGUGCACCUGAGGAUGAAAGUUCUUCUCUUAGGUUAAAAUCUCUUCUCUUUUCACCGUCACACGUUCUUUCUUGUGAGAAUUUUGAUACCUACACAAUGCGUAGCCGUUACUGAACGACUGCAAAACUUGCACACGAAUACCCUUGUCGGAGGAUCUUCUCUCUUUACACGACUUGAGUUGUUUUGUCCUAAAGCACGUAUGUUCUCCACUGCAGUAUUUUUGUUCAAGUGAAGUCUGCUGUUGGAGUAAGGUGUGAAUAUCAUAGACAACAAAGUUGUCUUUUUAAAGUAACUAGAACAAACUUCACUUGAACAAAAAUAUCACAAUAGAGAACAUACUUGCUUUCGUUCAAAACGCUAAAGUCGUGUUAAGAGGGAAGAUCCUCCGACAAGAAGGGUGUUCGUUUGCAAGUUUUGCAGUCGAUCAGUAGCGGCCAAGCAUUGGGUGGACAUCAAAAUUCUCACAAGAAAGAACGUGCGGCGCUGAAAAGAGAAGAGAUUUUCUCACAGUAACUAGGUUAAAAUCUCUUCUCUUUUCACCGUCACACGUUCUUUCUUGUAGGAAUUUUGAUACCUACCCAAUGCGUAGGCGUUACUGAACGACUGCAAAACUUGCACACGAAUACCCUUGUCGGAGGAUCUUCUCUCUUAACACGACUUGAGUUGUUUUGUCCUAAAGCACGUAUGUUCUCCAUUGCAGUAUUUUUGUUCAAGUGAAGUCUGCUGUUGGAGUAAGGUGUGAAUAUCAUAAACAACAAAGUUGUCUUUUUAAAGUAUUUAGAACAAACUUCACUUGAACAAAAAUAUCACAAUAGAGAACAUACUUGUUUUCGUUCAAAACACUAAAGUCGUGUUAAGAGGGAAGAUCCUCCGACAAGAAGGGUGUUCGUUUGCAAGUUUUGCAGUCGAUCAGUAGCGGUCAAGCAUUGGGUGGAUAUCAAAAUUCUCACAAGAAAGAACGUGCGGCGCUGAAAAGAGAAGAGAUUUUCUCACAGUAACUAGGUUAAAAUCUUUCCCUUUUCACCGUCACACGUUCUUUCUUGUGGGAAUUUUGAUACCUACCCAAUGCGUAGCCGUUACUGAAGGACUGCAAAACUUGCACACGAAUACCCUUGUUGGAGGAUCUUCUCUCUUAACACGACUUGAGUUGUUUUGUCCUAAAGCACGUAUGUUCUCCAUUGCAGUAUUUUUGUUCAAGUGAAGUCUGCUGUUGGAGUAAGGUGUGAAUAUCAUAGACAACAAAGUUGUCUUUUUAAAGUAACUAGAACAAGCAGACCGCACAAAGGGAAAGAUCUCAAAUUGAUUAUCCAAAUAUAUUUCACACGUAUGAUUUAUAAUGUAGUAAUUUGAAAUUGUUUGAUUGAUAGAUUUAAAAUUUUCAAUACUCAAUAGGGAUCGAUCUGAUUAUGAACUGAUUCUAUUUUGUUUUACUUCAAAGAGACCUUUAUACUCAAUAUUAAUGAAAAAAGUUGGAUUAUCGAAAAAAUGAAGCUAAAACCUUAACUUUAUCUCCAAGUUUCAUACGGAAAAGAUAGAUAUGCAAUUUAUAAAUUCAAGCACAAUCUUUUUAAAUUAAUUUUCUUAAUUAUCAUAUAAAUUAACGUUAGUACUAUAAAUUGAAUUAAGGAGUUCAAAGAGUAGAAAAUAUGAGUCAUCAAACAUGCACUCGGGAUACAUAAGUCACCAACCGGGUGUGAGAUCACCACGACUCACCAUUCUACUAUCUACAUGCAGCUCACCCAUAAGUCUUGGUUGUCGCUCUAUGAGAAUGUGGGUCUAACGCAACUAGGGUCAUGAUGGGAAAAUGGAAAAUAAUAUAAAACAAUGAUAUAGAGUCAACAUCAAUUUAUUAAGAGAAAUUGGAACCCUCAAAACAAAUUUAAAAUGGUAUGUGAUUAGAGUUUUAAAUUCGGGAGUUGUUUACGUGUGGGGAAAGUAAAAACACCUACGACGUCCACAAGAACAGUACUUAAGAACAGUACUUCUAAUUAAUUAUACAAAAUCUAAUAAUUUCAAACCUACUUAUCAUACUGAAGAAAGAAGAUUUAAUAUUUUUUAUAUAUUUUUUGUUAAGUAAAAUAAAGGAUUAUUUAUUAAUUGGGCCAGGGACGGACACACUUGUAGUGUGUUGGGGUAACUGCCCCCAUAAGAUUUAAACAUUUUUGUAUAAUACUAGUAGACUAGUAGUCUAGUAUAUAUCAAAUAUUAGUUGCCCCAUGAUUUUUGAUAGUAUUAAAGUGCCCUAGGCCCGACCAUGCGAGUAUCCGUGUAUCUCUCCAAUGGUUCAACACUUUUUUUAGGUAAACAAGGGUAUAAUUAUAACUGAAGUUACAGCACGCCAUAUUUUCUUUGACUUAUGUUCUUGGGCUUUACCUCAUUGUUUUGUAAUAACUUAGUUGGGCUAGAUCUAUUUGAUCAGUACCAUUGCUAAUAUACUAAAACAUUAAAAUUUAUAUAUAAUAUUGGGAAAACAUAUUAUAAUUAUCAAUCUCAAAUAUAUGUAUUGGUAUUUUUCGAUGUACCAAAAAAAAAAAAAUAUAUGUAUUGGUGUAUUUUGGUACAUAUACUAUAUAUAUAUAAAUUGUUCAUAGUUAAAACUAUUUUUCAUGAAUUUUUCUCAUAAUUAUUUUUUCUUUUAUUAUUCCUAAUUCUUUAUUUAUCAUCAUUUGUAAUUUUAUUAUUUGUAUUGGGAAACACGUGGCCAAGAGAUUUGUAAUCAAUAUAAAUUUUAAUGAUGGUUAUUCAUGAUCUUUAUUUCUCAAAAAAAAUGUGGUUAUACUGAUUUUAAUUCUAUAAACAAAAUUCUUUUCCAGAAGAAAAUAAAAAACCAAGCAAACAUCUUCAAUUGCCGGUGUAACAAAAAAAAACAUCUUCAAUUGAAAUUCAUACAAUGAUUCGAAGGCAUUUUUGAUUACUUAUAUUUAUAUAUAAAUAGAGGGAGAAUAAUUAUGAUAUAAAUUCGUAUUUAUAAUAAUGGUAUGUACUAAUUAGGUAUAACACAAUUAAUAGAUAGUUGGACUCUUUAAGAGUCUAGUCCAGGAUUUGAUUCCCGGUGGUGCGUAUGGAAAAAUAUUUGUUAGAAUAGGCCUACCCACUUAACAUCAUUUAUAACUUUAAGGAUUAGUCUCAUCACUGUUAGUUGUAGGAAUACCUUGGGGGAUAAAACGAAGUAAUAGUAUGUUAUAUUUUUAAUGCAUGUUACAAAUUUUUGAGAGUUUUAUAUUACGUUUAUAUUUUUGAAGGAAGAGAAUUUUAUAUUACGUUGAACACAAACUUUGUACACAAUCUUUCUAAUUCUAAUUUUUAAUUUUAGACAAAAAUAAACACUAUGAUAAAAUCACCUAAUGAAAUCAAACAAUAAUAUCACAUCAUAUAAAAAUAGGAAAAUAACAAAAUCAAGUGUCAAAUGAGAUUAACCUUAAAAGAUGCAUCAACACUCAUCCUGUUGUAUCCUUUGAAGCAGCAUCAGAAGCUUUCAUUAGACGAAACUGACCUUGUCUUUGUCUCUGGACAUUUCAAUCAAGCACCCUCCAUGUUAGCACAAAAAAUCACGUUCC